Molecule: ribosomal RNA, 434 nt
Filed under: uncultured Lachnospiraceae bacterium
Lineage: Bacteria; Bacillati; Bacillota; Clostridia; Lachnospirales; Lachnospiraceae
Description: partial 16S ribosomal RNA
Rfam family: Bacterial small subunit ribosomal RNA
Source: RNAcentral
ACGGAAGGCAGCAGUGGGGGAUAUUGCACAAUGGGGGAAACCCUGAUGCAGCGACGCCGCGUGAGCGAAGAAGUAUUUCGGUAUGUAAAGCUCUAUCAGCAGGGAAGAAAAUGACGGUACCUGACUAAGAAGCUCCGGCUAAAUACGUGCCAGCAGCCGCGGUAAUACGUAUGGAGCAAGCGUUAUCCGGAUUUACUGGGUGUAAAGGGAGCGUAGACGGUUUGCCAAGUCUGAUGUGAAAGGUGGGGGCUCAACCCCCAAACUGCAUUGGAAACUGGUAGACUAGAGUGUAGGAGAGGUAAGUGGAAUUCCUAGUGUAGCGGUGAAAUGCGUAGAUAUUAGGAGGAACACCAGUGGCGAAGGCGGCUUACUGGACGAUAACUGACGUUGAGGCUCGAAAGCGUGGGGAGCAAACAGGAUUAGAUACCCUGGUA